Alligator sinensis (Chinese alligator) is the source of this 1353-nucleotide long non-coding RNA. RefSeq lists it as uncharacterized. The transcript has 3 exons. The record is from RefSeq and is a predicted model, not a curated record. Lineage: Eukaryota; Metazoa; Chordata; Crocodylia; Alligatoridae.
UAAAGCAUCAGUGCACUGAGAUGAAUGGGGGGCUUGUUUGUGGUCAGGACUUUAGCUGGGAGCAAUAUUCAUGUUAUAACUGGAGUUAACUCUGAAGUGAAGGCAAGACCUGAGAGAACCAGAGUGCAAAGAAGUAUGGAGAGUGGUCACAACAAGCUGCUGCUGCAGGAAAGCCAUAGACAUGAAGCGGGCAGGGAGAUCAGAUCCUAGCAAUGGGAGCAGGUUGUUGUAACUCAGUACACGUGUCCUCUAUAACCUCUGUCAGCUGCAAGCAGGAGAGGCAGAAUGGAGGUAACUGAAAGGGAAAAGGAUUGUUUAGCCCAGAGCUGAAGACAUGGCACAACAGGGGGUGAAUUGGGCAGAGCUAGCCAUGAACAGAUCUGGCCAGGGUUAACACUGAUUCUAGGGCAGAGGGUGCAAGACUCCCUAACUGUCUUGGGGGAGCCCCUGUCCCCUUAACCCCUUGCUCACACAUGUGAUGAAGCACCUUAGUUUUUCUGUCAUUAGACAACACAGAUUUUAGAUACCAUAUUUUUCACACACAUAACAUGCACCCUUUUUCCCAAAACUCAGCUGCUGAAAAUAGUGAUAAGUGCUUUAAGUGAGGGAUGAAAUACAGUAAUAGCAGCUUCUGCAGCUUGAGCCUCUGCUGGGAGAAAGAGAAAAAGACACUUCACAUGAUGCACAGGGGACCAGCACAGAUGAACAGACCAUGCCACAAGGAUCAGCAGCUGGAGACUUUUUUUAAAUCCCAGAAGCAGGCCUAAUAAAGAAAAUACUGAUCAAAGAAAAAGGAGUCGUCCAUGCCCAUUGUAAGGAGCAUUUUGAAGACCUUCUCGAUUGAGACUCUGUUGUUGAUGAGAGCAUUCUCAACUCCAUCCCACAAGACCCCAUCAGAGAUGAUCGGACAAUCCUUCCAACCAUUGCUGAGGUAAGGAAAGCCAUCAAGCAGAUGAAGAAUGACAAAGCAUCUGGAGCUAAUGGAAUCCCUGCUGAAAUCUUCAAGCAAGGGGGAGAGGAGCUUACAUCACAACUCCAUGCCCUCAUCAUAAUGAUCUGGAAUGAUGAGGAAAUCCCAGCUGACCUCAGGGAUGCCAUGAUCACAACGAUCUUCAAGACAGGAGACAAGUUGGACUGUGAAAAUUAAAGAGGGAUCGCCUUGCUGUUCACCACAGAAAAGUUAAUUGUGAGAAAUCUCCGGAACCAUCUCCUCCCACUUGCUGAAGAGCUCCUCCCAGAACCUCAGGGUGGGUUUAGGGCAGAGGUGGGUAAAACACAGUCCAUGGGCCAGAUCCAGCCCACCAACAAAUUUGACCCAGCCUAUGAGUGGGUGGCUGCUCCAGCUCAUUGGAU